RNAcentral lists this long non-coding RNA (1130 nucleotides) under Citrus sinensis (sweet orange). RNAcentral describes it as "long non-coding RNA (CSIN_LNC005123)". The record is from RNAcentral. Lineage: Eukaryota; Viridiplantae; Streptophyta; Magnoliopsida; Sapindales; Rutaceae.
UUCACUUUCUUCUAUUCUAAGUCAUAAAAUCCAGAAUAGAGAAAUCCUCAAUUUAGAAAGGUCUACAGAAGUCAAUGUCAAGAGGUAAGUAACACUUCAACUGCAAUGUAAGGACAAAAUUCUUUUCAUAUUUAACUUCAGUUUUAACAAUUCCUUUAUGUUGUGAUGACUAUUAUGAUGUGAUUAAUUAUAAUCUAAAUUCUUAUAUGGUCGGCUAUGCCGCCUGUAUUAUGAUAUUUUCUUAUUUAAUCCUCGUAUGGCGGGCUAUGCCGCCUAAUCUGUGAUACUUAUACUUAAUUAUGCUAUGGUUGACUAUGUCGCCUAAUCUGUGAUACUUUUAUUUAAUUAUGCUAUUGUCGGCUCUAUCGCCUAUAUUAUAGUCUAAUUUUGUUUAAUCUCCAUAUGGAUGACACUGUUUCCUGCAUUAAAGAAUGUUGUUCCUAAAUACCAUUGUAUGUUAAUUUUGUUGUUCCUCUAGAAACUUCACAUAUUAUGACAUAUGUGUGCAUUGAACACAUGCAUUUCAUGAAUUACUUUAAAAGAAGACAUUUUAGAAAAAUGAAUUUCUAAAGAUGGGUUGUUGUACUACAAGGUUGCAAAGUUCCUAAAGAGGCAAGCCCUCCAAGCUUAGUAAAAGGUAAUCUUUUGGGGACGCGAUACGUAACGUCCAAAAGAUCAAUUAAUCAGGUCCAAGGGCAUAUGAUUUAAAGAAUAAAAGUGCUAGCUUUGUAGUGCAACAUACCUAUGGCCUUAAUGAAGUUGUUUUUGUAUUUUUCUAAGUUUCUUUUAAAAAGCUUUAUAUGGUCAUCUAUAUGCAUAAUAAGUUAUACCUGCAUCAAAGUGUUAUCUUACUGGACAUUAGCUCAUAAAGUCCUUACAUUGCAGGUAAAGAUGAGUAGGGCAAGCUAGUGCCAAGUCCUAACCAAGACGAAGUGCAUAUGGGCAUAACAAACCUUGGGUUUUAUGAUGGGCUCAACUUUUUUGCAAUAAAAAAAUAAAUUUCUUAGCUUUAUGUAAUAAUAACGUUUUUGGAAAAUAUUUGCAUGUCUUCUAUAUUUUGUAAGAGAGUUAUGCUUGUUAUGUAAAACUUUUUUUUUAGAAUUCGUAUUUAUAUUAAACAAGUAAUGAGG